This 76-nucleotide transfer RNA is filed under the name Frateuria aurantia. RNAcentral describes it as "tRNA-Thr". It matches the Rfam family "tRNA". Rfam says of the family: Transfer RNA (tRNA) molecules are approximately 80 nucleotides in length. Their secondary structure includes four short double-helical elements and three loops (D, anti-codon, and T loops). RNAcentral also lists the same sequence under 19 other names. The record is from RNAcentral. Lineage: Bacteria; Pseudomonadati; Pseudomonadota; Gammaproteobacteria; Lysobacterales; Rhodanobacteraceae.
GCCGCAAUAGCUCAGUUGGUAGAGCAACUGAUUCGUAAUCAGUAGGUCGGAGGUUCGACUCCUCUUUGCGGCACCA